This 688-nucleotide long non-coding RNA is filed under the name Androctonus crassicauda. The record is from RNAcentral. Lineage: Eukaryota; Metazoa; Arthropoda; Arachnida; Scorpiones; Buthidae.
AUUUUAAUAAAGCAACAGUAAUCAAUUUUAGUUUAAUUAUUUUUAGCAAAGGUGCAGUCAGAAUAUUUUUUAAAAUAUUCACGUUAUCACCGAUAACUUUGUAACAAAAAAGAAAAAUGCUAAGUUUAAUUAAUGAAAAUAUUACUAUAUUUAUCAAAUUUAUAAUCAUUUAAUAAAAAUUCUUAUAAUAUCCAACAUCGAAGAAGUAUCCUUAUCACUAAACAAGUUUUAAUUAAGAACUCUUUGUUCUCUUCCAAACCACUCCCUAACCAACCAUACAUCAACAGAGUGGCCGACACAGUUGGAAGCGAAGUUCCAACUUCAAAGAGAAGAUAGAGUAACUAUUUCCAAUAUUCCAUUUAAUUGUCGAUGUUUACAAGGCUGCAUAUUUGCUAUCCCUUUGUUCAUUAGAAAGCUCUCAUUGAUAGCAUGUCACAACAUCAAUGGUUACCAACGCUUAAGGCACCGGUUUGCAUGCUAGCAAUAACGGUGAUUUGUCCAUUUACUUAUGUAAGAUAUAUAUAUAUAUAUUUGUACAUAUAUAUGCAGCAUGAAAUUUUUCGAUAUUCUACUUAUUCCAAUACCCAGUUUUUUGCAAAAGUCUUGCGGCUUAUCUCUGCAUUUUUUAGCAUGCGUGUAUUUUUCCUCAAAUCCCAAUGUCCUCAUCCCAACAUAUUUUGGGAUGAUU